UUCCAAUUGAGUUUCCAAGCCAGUUAAGUGCACUCGUUAUUACAAUAUAAAGAAUUAUUAAGUAGUUAAUACCAAAUUAUGAUUUGUUGCAAUAUAAAAAAAAUACAUCAGAAAAAAAGUGUAAAAAAUUGGUUCAUUUUCAGCAAAUUGUUUUUGAUUAUGUCCCUUUGAUCUGAUAUAUAAAAUUGAUAGUGAUGUGUUUAUUUACUAUCUUAUUUAGUUUCUACGGAUACUUUAAUAUUAUGAAAUUGUUUGCUGAUUAUGAUAUAGUUGUAUUAAGAGGAUUUACUACAAAAAUUGCAAUUUGAUAUGAGGGGUGACACAAGGGUGCUCAUUUACACAGUCCUGCCUAUUGGUAAUAUUUUUUGAAGCUCCCCCUUCUUUUCCUCCUAUAUUCCACAUCCCUGAUUAAUUUACCCUCUUUAUUCCACAUCACAAUUAUAUAAAGUUCAUCAUACAUUCAAACAAAUAGUGUACUAGAUAUAAGAAGAUGUGGUAUGAGGGCCAAUGAGACAACUCUCCAUCCAAGUCACAAUUUAUAAAAGUAAACCUAUGAUAGGUCAAAGUACUGUCUUCAAAACAGAGCCUUAGUUUGUUUGAGUUUGAUAAAUUUUCAUCAGAUUUUAAAAUUGCAAAUUUUCUUUGAAGUAGCUAAUUUGUAUUAUUGUUGUUAUAAAAAUUGGAUAAUUUUCCCCAGGAUAUUUGUCAUUUAGUAAAAAAAAAGUUACAUUCUAGGUUUCAAUAGUAAAGAUGAAUUUCAAAAAUAAAAAUUCCACAGAUGAAGUCAUUGUUUUUAUUAGACCAACCAUCCAGUACUUGUUAUCUUUUUAACAAGAAACAAAUCAGAAAUAAAUUAUUUUGAUAUAUACAAUAGCAAUAAUGGUGAACAGCAAAAUUAGCAACUAAAAUUUAAUAUUUU
Molecule: long non-coding RNA, 919 nt
Filed under: Mytilus galloprovincialis (Mediterranean mussel)
Lineage: Eukaryota; Metazoa; Mollusca; Bivalvia; Mytilida; Mytilidae
Source: RNAcentral